This 1124-nucleotide long non-coding RNA is filed under the name Salmo salar (Atlantic salmon). RNAcentral's name for it is "lncRNA (ENSSSAG00000091492.1)". Lineage: Eukaryota; Metazoa; Chordata; Actinopteri; Salmoniformes; Salmonidae. The record is from RNAcentral.
CCAGACAGUGUGUUGUCAAACACCAGGUGUUGUAUAAUAACAUGAGAACCAGACAGUGUGUUGUCAAACACCAGGUGUUUUAUAAUAACCAGACAGUGUGUUGUCAAACACCAGGUGUUGUAUAAUAACAUGAGAACCAGACAGUGUGUUGUCAAACGCCAGGUGUUGUAUAAUAACAUGAGAAUGUCUCAAGUCACAUGACAUGACAGUCACACACAGGGCAUGCAACACGUGACCUUAGAAUGACCUCCGUCCCCAUCACGCCCUCCCCGCCUGUUCAUUUCCUCAUAUGUCCAUCAUUUUCUCUUUCUGUUGUUGUUUGUAUUUCCAUAUUGCAUAGUUUAAAUAUUUCUGUUUUGGUUCCAUUUCUCCUGUUGUUUUUCUUCCUCUUCUUUAGCCAGAUGCACCCUGGGAAAACCAUUCCCCCAUUCCCAGGGGAUUUGAUUUAGCAGGCAGCUUAAUACUUCUACUAAUUCCGGGUGAUAGAGACUACUGCCGGGCGUGCUAUUGGUUACAGAGAGACGGGUGAAGAGUCACCCACAUUGUAACCACGCCCUAAAUUAGGAAAAGGGGGCGGGGUUAUAAAACUAGAGCACCAAUAGAACACAAUUAUCUGACUGGAAGACUGCUACCACCUUUAUACACACAAAAAGUGAGUCUGAAAUGGCCCCGUGUCCUCUAUAGUACACUACAUUAGACCAGAGGUCUAUGAGGACAGGGGAACACUGAUAUAUACAGGUAUAGUACACCAACAGAACACCCUGGGCCCUCUGUAGUGCACUACUUUAGACCAGAGGUCUAUGAAGACAGGGGAACACUGAUAUAUACAGGUACAGUACACCAACAGAACACAUACAUCAGUAAAUAUACACAGUAUAAUAUAGAUGACGUCAAACCCACCCUGACCCUCAGUAGUUAGGUAAAGUGUUACCAACCGUCAAGUAGUUCAUUGGUAACUAAGGGCUCAUAAUAUUAUGGGGGGGUUAGCUAGCUCUAAAGGCAUGCGUUGUGAAGCUGGUUUCACGGAUUAGAAAAAACCACACACACCGGACUAGCGAACAGCGCUAACCUCACACACACACACACACACACGCACGCACACGCACACACACACACACACACAC